UUUUUGAUUAUAAUUUAAGGUUUAAUCUGCUCAAUGAUAAUUUAAAUUGCCGCAGUAUCUUGACUGUGCAAAGGUAGCAUAAUAAUUAGUUUUUUUAUUGAAAGCUGGAAUGAAUGAUUGGACGAGAAAAUUACUGUCUCUUUAGAAUUUAUUUUUAAAUUUAACUUUUAAGUAAAAAGGCUUAAAUUCAUUUUAAAGACGAGAAGACCCUAUAGAGUUUUAUAUUAAUUUCGAUAAAGAGUUUUUGGUUAUUUUAUGUCUAUAUUUAUAUUAAUAUUUAGUUGGGGUGACUGGAAGAUUAAAUUAACUCUUCUAAUAAUUAAAUCAUUAAUUAAUGAAUACUUAAUCUAUUAAUUUUAAAUUUAAAAUAAAUUACCUUAGGGAUAACAGCGUAAUUUUUCUUUAAAGUUCUUAUUAAAAGAGAAGUUUACGACCUCGAUGUUGGAUUAAAAUUUAUUUUUGGUGCAGAAGCU
This 473-nucleotide ribosomal RNA is filed under the name Selatosomus cruciatus. RNAcentral's name for it is "partial 16S ribosomal RNA". Lineage: Eukaryota; Metazoa; Arthropoda; Insecta; Coleoptera; Elateridae. The record is from RNAcentral.